Molecule: long non-coding RNA, 1512 nt
Filed under: Homo sapiens (human)
Lineage: Eukaryota; Metazoa; Chordata; Mammalia; Primates; Hominidae
Description: HSALNT0400824
Source: RNAcentral
UGCUCCUUGCCGGGGUGGGGGUCGUUACCGAGUGGGAACUUCUGCAAAUCCUGACUUUUGUCACUUCGCGCCCCGCACAAGAUGUCCUGCCGGCGGUGCGAUUGGUCCCGUUGCUUCGAGGGGAAACUGAGGCCACUUAGUCCGGGCACUUACCCGCAGCUAGUUAAGGACUAGGCUCUGAUGGAGACGCUUGUUACGACCUCAAUGGCCUGUAGAAUCUGGGAGGCCGCCUCCGACCUAAGCCCAAAAAGCACAUGAUCGGGCUCACAGGGGGCGGCCAGAGGUGAAAACAGCCAACGCUUUACAACGACGCUGUGCGGGGCACUUCGUGUGUGUCAUCCCGUCUCAUCCUCGGGUGAUAGGAACUGUUCAUUCGGGAAAAUUGCAAACAACUAAAUACCCCUCACCAGGAGCUGGCCCAUUAUAGCAACUCUGAGACCUCUCUACCGCAGGCUCUUAAAAUGGGGGAAGAAACAGAAGUUCUUGGCCAUGGUGUGACAGUGACACCGAGAGAAGCCCGAUUCACUCCCAGGUUUCUGCUCACAGGUCACCUGGCCAGGGAUGCCCUCCCUGACCACCCUGAAUGCAACAGCAACACCGACCCUGCCUGUGCAGUGGACACUAUACUGCUCUUACCCUUCCUGGUUAUUUGUUACUGCUCACCUGGUUACUGCUUACCACAUUUGGUUAUUUGGUAUCCCUUCCCAUGAGGGGAGGGAUUUUGUUUUGUUCACUGCGACAUCCCCAGAAGCUACAACAGUACCUGGCAUAAGUUUUCAUCCCAACAGAAUUUUUCUGAGGAACUUGAUAUACAAAUUCUAUAAUUUAUAUUGGAAGAAUGAAGAUACAAGAAUAGUUUUUCUUUCUGCACAAAAAGGAUAAAGAAGGAGCACUCACCAGAUACCAAGGCGUGCUACAAAGCCAUGUGAUUCUGUCCAAGCUUAACAGUGGAUGUAACUGCUUCUUUGCUGUGGCAGAUUGUAUUUUCUGAAGGCCCCAACAGUCUCUCCUGUCCCUCCUCCUCUUCUGAAACCUUGAUACUUCCCUAUGAAGAGGUAGGGUCUAAUACUUCCCUCCUUCAACCUGAAGCCCCGCCUUGGGCUUGUGACUUGCUUGUAACCAGUCAAAUACAGUGGAAGAGUUACUACGUGACUUCCAGGGCUAGGUCAGAAAAGGAUGCAGCCUCAGGGUUCAACACACACUUGGGCCUGGAGCCACCAUGCAAGAAGGCUGCCAUGCUGCGAGGGAGCAAAGGCACGUGGAGGGACAUACACAGGGGCUGUGGCUGGCAGUCCUGGCCUUUGAGUCAUCCUUGUUUAAGUGCCAGGCACACACGUUAACUACCUUUAGGUAAUUCCAUACCUCAGGUGUCAUGUCACCCCAAGCCCUUGAGCCUUCCCAUCUGAAGCCCCAGGCUGUAUGGAGAAGAAACAAGAUGUUCCUGCCACGCUCUUUCUGAACUGCUGACAUACAGAAUCUGUGACCAUAAUAAAAUGGUUGUUUUGUGCCAUU